ACAUGACACAAGCAGUCUGGAACAAAAGCGAGAGCUGAAUGAACUCAUUUGCCUCUCAGUUCAGUGCCUCAGUCACAAAAUGAUCCUGUAAAAUAACUUUGCUGAGGAGCUGUGAAAAUCAAGGAUGAAGAGAUUAAAACUUUAGGGGAAGAAAUACCAAGUGCUUUUGGUUGAAUUUAUCAGAUUAUUGAAAAGUAGAAGGAGCAAUUGGCUAGACCAGUGUGUGAAUCUGUCUUUUCAUCUGCUCUUUUGCAGCUACAUCGUUCCCAAGGGUCACUGAGGUCCUAACCAAGACACUGCUGUGUGCAUAAAACCCUGGGCUCACAUGCUCCAUCUGGAGCAAGAGGAGUGUUACUUGUCUUCAUUCUAGCGUAGCAUUUCAGAGUCUGAAUUUUAUAUUUGUCUCUCACUUUGCAUUUGUACAGCACCUUGUAAAACUGGGCUUUUAUGCCUGCUAAACUUUUAUUCCUGAUAUUAUACAAUUAAUGUUGGAAUUAAAAAUAAUUUCAAAUUAAAUGAAUACUAAUCUGAUUGCUAACUGAAACUUAUCAUGCAUUUCAUACAAUUAUGUAUGAAAAUCAAGAUUAUGAAAAAAAAUGAUGUGAU
RNAcentral lists this long non-coding RNA (606 nucleotides) under Anas platyrhynchos platyrhynchos (common mallard). RNAcentral describes it as "lncRNA (ENSAPLG00000021709.1)". Lineage: Eukaryota; Metazoa; Chordata; Aves; Anseriformes; Anatidae. The record is from RNAcentral.